This 675-nucleotide ribosomal RNA is filed under the name uncultured cyanobacterium. RNAcentral's name for it is "bacterial SSU rRNA". It matches the Rfam family "Bacterial small subunit ribosomal RNA", at positions 344 to 1032 of the family's 1533-position model. The record is from RNAcentral. Lineage: Bacteria; Bacillati; Cyanobacteriota.
GAAUUCGCCCUUGGGGAAUUUUCCGCAAUGUGCGAAAGCCUGACGGAGCAAUACCGCGUGAGGGAGGAAGGCUCUUGGGUUGUAAACCUCUUUUCUCAGGGAAGAACAGAAUGACGGUACCUGAGGAAUAAGCAUCGACUAACUCCGUGCCAGCAGCCGCGGUAAUACGGAGGAUGCAAGCGUUAUCCGGAAUGAUUGGGCGUAAAGGGCCCGCAGGUGGCAUUGUAAGUCUGCUGUUAAAGAGUUUGGCUCAACCAAAUAAGAGCAGUGGAAACUACAAAGCUAGAGUGUGGUCGGGGCAGAGGGAAUUCCUGGUGUAGCGGUGAAAUGCGUAGAUAUCAGGAAGAACACCAGUGGCGUAGGCGCUCUGCUAGGCCGAGACUGACACUGAGGGACGAAAGCUAGGGGAGCGAAUGGGAUUAGAUACCCCAGUAGUCCUAGCCGUAAACGAUGGAUACUAGGCGUAGCUCGUAUCGACCCGAGCUGUGCCGGAGCUAACGCGUUAAGUAUCCCGCCUGGGGAGUACGCAGGCAACUGUGAAACUCAAAGGAAUUGACGGGGGCCCGCACAAGCGGUGGAGUAUGUGGUUUAAUUCGAUGCAACGCGAAGAACCUUACCAAGGCUUGACAUGUCACGAAUCCUAUUGAAAGAUGGGAGUGCCUUCGGGAGCGUGAA